RNAcentral lists this ribosomal RNA (472 nucleotides) under uncultured bacterium. RNAcentral describes it as "partial 16S ribosomal RNA". It matches the Rfam family "Bacterial small subunit ribosomal RNA", at positions 28 to 507 of the family's 1533-position model. The record is from RNAcentral.
GACGAACGCUGGCGGCGUGCUUAACACAUGCAAGUCGAACGCUGAAGCUUGGUGCUUGCCCUGGGUGGAUGAGUGGCGAACGGGUGAGUAAUACGUGAGUAACCUGCCCUUGACUCUGGGAUAAGCCUGGGAAACUGGGUCUAAUACUGGAUACGACAUGCCACUGCAUGGUGGUGUGUGGAAAGGGUUUUACUGGUUUUGGAUGGGCUCACGGCCUAUCAGCUUGUUGGUGGGGUAAUGGCCUACCAAGGCGACGACGGGUAGCCGGCCUGAGAGGGUGACCGGCCACACUGGGACUGAGACACGGCCCAGACUCCUACGAGAGGCAGCAGUGGGGAAUAUUGCACAAUGGGCGGAAGCCUGAUGCAGCGACGCCGCGUGAGGGAUGACGGCCUUCGGGUUGUAAACCUCUUUCAGCACGGAAGAAGCGAGAGUGACGGUACGUGCAGAAGAAGCGCCGGCUAACUACGUG